Molecule: ribosomal RNA, 253 nt
Filed under: uncultured bacterium
Lineage: Bacteria
Description: partial 16S ribosomal RNA
Rfam family: Bacterial small subunit ribosomal RNA
Source: RNAcentral
GACAGAGGGGGCGAGCGUUGUCCGGAGUCACUGGGCGUAAAGCGCGCGCAGGCGGCAACCUAAGUGUCGUGUGAAAGCCCCCGGCUCAACCGGGGGAGGCCAUGGCAAACUGGGUCGCUCGAGCUGCGGAGAGGCCCCUCGAAUUGCCGGUGUAGCGGUGAAAUGCGUAGAGAUCGGCAGGAAGACAAAGGGGGAAGCCAGGGGGCUGGCCGCUGGCUGACGCUGAGGCGCGACAGCGUGGGGAGCGAACCGG